RNAcentral lists this long non-coding RNA (1035 nucleotides) under Elaeis guineensis (African oil palm). RNAcentral describes it as "long non-coding RNA (EGUI_LNC049609)". The record is from RNAcentral. Lineage: Eukaryota; Viridiplantae; Streptophyta; Magnoliopsida; Arecales; Arecaceae.
AAUGAGCUUGUGAUACAGGAUAUUGUUGCAGGAUCUUUUGGAAAAUAACUGAGAUGCCACAUAACAUGUGGAUUACUAUCAUUAAUACCAUCCAAAUGAAAGGCAUGAAUGCUAACAACUCACAAUAGAUUCUACAGUUGCUUACCCAAAGGUAAGCAACUAUUUCAAAGAGAAAAAAAACAUUGUAUCCGACAAAGAUAUCCACCCUCUUCUGCACCCUCGGAGGGUUAGUCUCCGAUGAGGCUCCCGCCAUUGCUAGAGUUCAAGAUCCACAAAGAGAGAGAGAGAGAGAGAGAGAGAGAUUGGAGGAUUCGGGGGCGAAUGAGGGGUUUAAUAGAGACAUCAAAAAAAAUUACAAAAAAAGGAUCUUGCAACAUCACAUCACAGAAUAUCAGCAACCACUGAGACUUAAUCAACAGCAAAAUAACAAUCCAACAACAAAUGAUAAAAUCCAACCUAUGCAUCACAACAAAUGAUAAAACCCAUUUCCUCAUUACAUGUCAUGAUGAUUCUCUCACCCUCAUUGAGCUGCCAUAUGUCCCUAGCUCGUGUCGGUCCCCAUCUCGCCUUCACUCAACCCUGAUUGUCUACAAAAAAAUAUAAAAAUAAAAGUUAAUCAAAAUUAUUAAAUAUGCAUCACAUGAAAAAAAUUUGAAAUAAAAUAUUAAAAUGAAAUAAGUACAGGAUUUGUUCAUUUAAUUUACCCUGAAUCUGCAAGUCACCUAUAACAGGCUCAUCAUCUUGGUCAUCAGUAGGAGACUCAUGCUGCAGCGCAUCAUGCUGCUGAGACUACUGAGGGCCAUCAAACUGACUAGAAGAUCUGGCCUGGGAAUGCUGAAACUCUACACCUCUGAAACGUCUAUGAGGCAUAACGUAUCUAACCUGCACAUAUUGAUUACAAUAUGAAUUAAUACAAAUUAUAGUAAAGGCAUGCAUUUAAUAGCAUACUUACAGUAAGGAAUGCAUACAUGAAUGCCAUCAUAGAACAGAAAUACAAUUUGGAACCAAACAUGCCAUUAACUAAUGCAAAGGAAC